Long non-coding RNA from Hirundo rustica (Barn swallow), 919 nucleotides. RefSeq lists it as uncharacterized. NCBI's taxonomy places the organism in Eukaryota, Metazoa, Chordata, Aves, Passeriformes, Hirundinidae. The record is from RefSeq and is a predicted model, not a curated record. The transcript is spliced from 4 exons.
GGACUUUUUCUCUACUUACCGAGUACAUAUGUAGGUAACAUGGAUACAAAGUAUGUCCAGGCACACAUGUACCUUCACGUAGGUACUUACAUAGCAAAUGCAAAUCCCUCUUUCUUUGCUUAAAUGCAAAGGUUUUGUCUAGAAAACCUUGCAAGGAAACUGUUACGCAGUAGAAGAUGACACCACAAAUAUUUCACCCAAGUGUGUUUGGUGAAAAAUAGGAGCCCUGCAGCUUGUUUUUGGGACAAUUCUUCCUAUGUAACUGGGUGCUUGGAUAGAGGAUAAUUGUAUCAGCUUUUUUGGUAUUUCUACCCUUGUUUUUCAACCACUACCUUUAGAUUGUCUUUUGGGGGAUUUUUUGUGAACACUUUCAGGUGACCAUGGUUGGAGUUGUUUUUUGAAAUCCCCUGCAGGGUGAAAGUGUGGUGGUCAGCCGGAUACCUGGAGAGACUAGGGCAGGUGUAAAGCUUUAUUUAAGUAGGAUGCUCAAAUAAUUACCUCCCACUCUUUCACAGCUUGUGCUGUUUCAUGCACAUGACUGCUGCGUGGCACAGCUGAACUUCUCAAAGCUGUGAGAUGCCAGGACUGAUCAGCUGUGCCUUGAGCAGGGGAGAGGACACUGUGCUAUUAGCGAGGUGCUAGGAGUAUUAGUACUGGAUCCAGCGCUCAAAGCUCCCACUCUGGUCAUUUGCUGAUACUGCUAUAGAGUAUGCCGGUGGAAAUCAGUUCUCUGAACUUAAUGAAAGUUUUGCAGGAUGGUUAAGGUUGACAUGGACCAGUGGAGGUCAUCUCAUCCAUCUGCCCUGCUCAAGCAGGGCCACUUAGAACUUGUUGCCCAGAACAGUGUUCAAAAGGCUUUUAAAUAUCUCCAAGGACAGGAACUCCACAACCUAUCUUCCUGUGCUUGACUAUCCUAGAA